This 324-nucleotide ribosomal RNA is filed under the name uncultured bacterium. RNAcentral's name for it is "bacterial SSU rRNA". It matches the Rfam family "Bacterial small subunit ribosomal RNA", at positions 28 to 334 of the family's 1533-position model. The record is from RNAcentral.
GAUGAACGCUGGCGGCGUGCUUAACACAUGCAAGUCGAACGAAGCACUUUAAAACAAUCCUUCGGGUGCGUUUUAUUGUGACUUAGUGGCGGACGGGUGAGUAACGCGUGGGUAACCUGCCUCAUGCAGGGGGAUAACAGUUAGAAAUGACUGCUAAUACCGCAUAAGCGCACAGUACCGCAUGGUACAGUGUGAAAAGAUUUAUCAGCAUGAGAUGGACCCGCGUCUGAUUAGCUAGUUGGUGAGGUAACGGCUCACCAAGGCGACGAUCAGUAGCCGACUUGAGAGAGUGAUCGGCCACAUUGGGACUGAGACACGGCCCAA